GUGAUAAGCUGCGAUAAGCUUCGGGGAGUUGCACGUAAACUUUGAUCCGAAGAUUUCCGAAUGAGGAAACUCACUUAGAGUAAUGUCUAAGUAUCAUUAAGUGAAUACAUAGCUUAAUGAGGGGAACUCAGGGAACUGAAACAUCUAAGUACCUGAAGGAAGAGAAAGAAAGUCGAUUCCGUAAGUAGCGGCGAGCGAACGCGGAUUAGCCCAAACUAAUAAAGUUUUCUUUAUUGGGGUUGCGGACAUAUCAUAACGAAGAGGUAUCGUAAUUGAAGAGGUUUGGAAAGACCCACCACAGAAGGUAAUAGUCCUGUAUGUUAAACGAGAAGACUUUAGAUAUGAUCCAGAGUACCACGGGACACGUGAAACCCUGUGGGAAGCAGGAGGGACCACCCUCCAAGGCUAAAUACUACCUAGUGACCGAUAGCGUAUAGUACCGUGAGGGAAAGGUGAAAAGAACCCCGGGAGGGGAGUGAAAUAGAACCUGAAACCCUGCACUUACAAGCUGUGGAAGCACAUUUCUUGUGUGACCGCGUACUUUUUGUAGAACGGGCCAACGAGUUACGUUAAGUAGCAAGGUUAAGCACUUAAGGUGCGGAGCCGUAGCGAAAGCGAGUUUUAACUGAGCGUUCAGUUACUUGACGUAGACCCGAAACCGGGCGACCUACCCAUGAGCAGGAUGAAGCGAAAGUAAAAUUUCGUG
Molecule: ribosomal RNA, 706 nt
Filed under: Clostridioides difficile
Lineage: Bacteria; Bacillati; Bacillota; Clostridia; Peptostreptococcales; Peptostreptococcaceae
Description: bacterial LSU rRNA
Rfam family: Bacterial large subunit ribosomal RNA
Source: RNAcentral